AGGACGAACGCUGGCGGCGUGCUUAACACAUGCAAGUCGAGCGGAAAGGCCCUUCGGGGUACUCGAGCGGCGAACGGGUGAGUAGCACGUGAGUAAUCUGCCCCUAGCUCUGGGAUAGCUCCGGGAAAACCGGGAUUAAUACCAGAUACGACCACUUUAGACAUCUGCUGUGGUGGAAAGAAUUUCGGCUAGGGAUGAGCUCGCGGCCUAUCAGCUUGUUGGUGAGGUAACGGCUCACCAAGGCGACGACGGGUAGCCGGCCUGAGAGGGCGACCGGCCACACUGGGACUGAGACACGGCCCAGACUCCUACGGGAGGCAGCAGUGGGGAAUAUUGCGCAAUGGGCGAAAGCCUGACGCAGCGACGCCGCGUGGGGGAUGAAGGCCUUCGGGUUGUAACCCCUUCAGCAGGGACGAAGCGAAAGUGACGGUACCUGCAGAAGAGCGCGGCUACUACGUGCCAGCAGCCGCGGUAA
RNAcentral lists this ribosomal RNA (475 nucleotides) under uncultured bacterium. RNAcentral's name for it is "SSU rRNA". It matches the Rfam family "Bacterial small subunit ribosomal RNA", at positions 26 to 523 of the family's 1533-position model. The record is from RNAcentral.